Non-coding RNA from Erinaceus europaeus (western European hedgehog), 114 nucleotides. NCBI's taxonomy places the organism in Eukaryota, Metazoa, Chordata, Mammalia, Eulipotyphla, Erinaceidae. The record is from Rfam.
CACAGGUAUGGCGAUAUGGUGCCCAAGACAAUUGCAGGGAAGAUCUUUGGCUCUAUCUGCUCCCUGAGUGGUGUCCUGGUCAUCGCCCUGCCUGUCCCUGUAAUUGUCUCCAAC